GGGAGGGACUGCGUCUUGGGAGAGUCCACGCUGGCACUGAGCCACAUUCUGGGACAGCGAGGAUCCCGAGGUCGGGGGAAGACCUCAGAUUUCCCUCAGACUUCCAGGGAAGCCCCUGGGAUUCCCCCAAAAGAAGCCACGUGGAGCAACGGAGCAGGAAGAUCCACUCCCGUGUCAGUGGGUCUGCUUUGCUCUCCCCUGCUGCCUGGCGGAGGGGCCCUGCAGCCGACGUGGGUCAGAGACCCGCGGAUGGACCCAGCCUCAGCAGGACUGCCUGCCCGGCACCCCAGGCACCCCAAAGUUGAAUUUCCUGUCCAUGGACUUUGGUCUCCCGCUGAUUGAUGCUCCGUCUUGCCUUUCAGUUGUCCCUGUGUUCCGUCAAGCCCUCCUGCCCUCUCAGGAUGGGGUAUCUCACCAGCCUAGCCAACCAAAAUUCACAGCCCUGACGUUGAAACAUACAGGCAAAAAAAUUAGGGGGGGAGGGUCAUGCAAUAUGAAGAAUGGCCACCAGGUGUCGCGGUUGUUCCAAACCUCUUCUACAGCUACCUUCGCUCCGCUGAAACCCGGCAGAGCGUAAUAGUAGUAAUCCCGCACAAUUACACGCAAUUCAUAAUCCGAUGAGCGUUCGCCUCCGAGAUCCCAUUUUGUCUUCACAGCAACCUUGAUCCAUUGCAAGGGCUGAUAAGUCCAUUUCACAGAGGAGAAAACUCUGCAAGAUUCCCUAGACUGAAUCAGGACUUCCUGAGGGCCCUUAGCCCCUGGGACACAGAAGAACUGGACUCCAGGAGCCACAGAGUGACUGACUGUGGUGGCGGACACUGCAGAGCUUGAAGCAACCCUCAGUACUCCACGCUGAGAGAGAGGGAGGUGGUUUUCUGGGUUUUUCCCCCAAUAUCUACAAAAUUUUAAAAAUUGGAAAAAGUGGGAAAGCAUAAAGCAGAGAAAAAACAAUCACAUACACUGGCAAGCACUGCUGACAUCUGGGCACUUCUCUGAAGAGUAGGAGAAUCUUUGGCGUUGAGAGCACAUCGCCUGGAGCCUCAGGGGCUCCUGAAGAAUGGCCCCCGGAAGACAGCACAAAUAGAGCAACUUAUUCCACUGGGUGAGCUUCACUCUCAGAAGACUUGCCGCCUCAUCGUGACGAGAUGGACGCUGACAGCUCCAGGCUCAUGUCCUAUCUGCUCAGAAGUCAAGUAGAAAGAGAUUCCUCUUUCCCAGUAGUCCACACUAAAGUACUGACACCCAAUGGACCACGUGGCCAUCUUAAAACCACCGCUGUGGGUCUGAUUACCAGGCCUGGGCCGUGUGCCCAUUCUAGGUCAGGAGACGUGGGGCAGCUCUGUCUGAUGGACAGAGCAAGGAAGGGGUGGUUUCCCAAGAGAAAGCUAAGAGGCUCUUACAUGAAAAAAAGGAGAACACAUUUUGCAGGCAAAACAGCCCCUCUUGCAAGUACUUAUCCCUGGAGAAGGCACACACAAGGCAAGUGACCUACACAGAGCUUUUGCAAUCUACUUGUCCCCUUACUAGGUACUUUCACACAUCACCUUAGGCAAUGCUCCCAGCAAGCCUCCAAGAUAGAUAUUAGUAGUUCCAUUUCUACAGGUGAGGAAAACGGAGGCUCAGAAAGCUGGGGGUGUGGAGGUGCGGGGUGGUAAUUUAACCAAAGUUGUGCAGCUGGGCGAUGGCAGAGAUGGGACUUGUGGGUGGAGAUGGCUGGAGCACUUGCAGAGGAAGAUGAUCAAUAAAAUAGUCCUUUCCGUGUUAGAACUGGGUGCGGUUUCCAAAUGUAGGGCAGUUCAGUCCCCUUCCUAGUG
Molecule: long non-coding RNA, 1814 nt
Filed under: Equus asinus (donkey)
Lineage: Eukaryota; Metazoa; Chordata; Mammalia; Perissodactyla; Equidae
Description: lncRNA (ENSEASG00005032652.1)
Source: RNAcentral